RNAcentral lists this ribosomal RNA (486 nucleotides) under uncultured bacterium. RNAcentral's name for it is "partial 16S ribosomal RNA". It matches the Rfam family "Bacterial small subunit ribosomal RNA", at positions 29 to 507 of the family's 1533-position model. The record is from RNAcentral.
AUUGAACGCUGGCGGCAUGCUUUACACAUGCAAGUCGAGCGGCAGCGCGGGGGCAACCCUGGCGGCGAGCGGCGAACGGGUGAGUAAUGCAUCGGAACGUAUCCUCGAGUGGGGGAUAACCCAGCGAAAGUUGGGCUAAUACCGCAUGAGCUCUGAGGAGGAAAGCGGGGGACCUGCGAGGGCCUCGCGCUGGAGGAGCGGCCGAUGUCCGAUUAGCUAGUUGGUGGGGUAAAGGCUUACCAAGGCGACGAUCGGUAGCUGGUCUGAGAGGAUGAUCAGCCACACUGGGACUGAGACACGGCCCAGACUCCUACGGGAGGCAGCAGUGGGGAAUUUUGGACAAUGGGGGCAACCCUGAUCCAGCCAUGCCGCGUGAGUGAAGAAGGCCUUCGGGUUGUAAAGCUCCUUCGGACGGAACGAAAUGGGCGGGACUAAUACUCCUGUCUGAUGACGUUACCGUAAGAAGAAGCACCGGCUAACUACGUG